Molecule: ribosomal RNA, 436 nt
Filed under: Bigelowiella natans
Lineage: Eukaryota; Cercozoa; Chlorarachniophyceae
Description: partial Eukaryotic small subunit ribosomal RNA
Rfam family: Eukaryotic small subunit ribosomal RNA
Source: RNAcentral
CAAGGCUGAAACUUAAAGGAAUUGGCGGAAGGGCACCACAAGGCGUGGAGCUUGCGGCUUAAUUUGACUCAACGCAGGAAAACUUACCAGGUCCGUACAUAGGGAGGAUUGACAGAUUGAUAGCUCUUUCUUGAUUCUAUGGGAGGUGGUGCAUGGCCGUUUCUAGUUCGUGAGUUGACUUGUCAGGUUAAUUCCGGUAACGAGCGAGACCUCAACUCCUAGCGAGCUCAGUACGUUGAAUAUCCGGUGUAGACUUGGGUACAACCAAGAUCCACGAAGGGAGUAGCUUGGUGAAGGCAAUCCGGGUAUGGGCCAGGACCGAGCAUUACGAAAUGAGCAUCCUAGGAGGACGCUUGGUGGGAAACCAAGGGAGGCAUGAGGCGAUAGCAGGUCUGUGAUGCCCUUAGAUGUGCUGGGCCGCACGCGUGUUACACUG